CCGCCGAGGCCCAGCGUGAGCACCUCAGCGCGGCCUUCAGCCGGCAGCUCAACGUCAAUGCCAAACCCUUUGUGCCCAACGUCCACGCCGCCGAGUUCGUGCCGUCCUUCCUGCGUGGCCCGGCCCAACCGGCGCCGGCGCCGGCGCCAACCACCACGGAGCCUGCAGUGGCGCGGGAGGCCCUUCGGGCAAAGGGGCCGGGACGCGGAAGCAGCCGAGCGGGAGGCCGGAGCCCACCUUGGUGGGGUGUGGGGACACGUCUGCGGUUCGCCUCGCAGGGCGGGGUACGCGCGGCCUCGGGGCCCGGCGGCACGUGGGGCGCUGACAGCGGCGCCGGGCGCGGGCAGCCCUGUGUGGGGCGGCCCGGGCGCGGCGGAGGGCCUGGAGGAGCGGUAGCUGCGUGUCGGCGACAUGGGAGGGAUCUAGAGCCCGUCCCUUCCCCGGGGGCCGCAGCUACCUACUAGAACUGAAAACCGUAUGGGACGGAGAGGGCCCGCGGCCAUCAGUACCAUGAGGCCCAGACGUGGGACAACUGGAACCAGGAGGUGGGUGGGCGUUGAGCGAGCCAGACUCAAGGAGCUGGGAGGACGAGCGCCCGACUUUUCCUUCACCUUAUGCCUAGGUGAGAGAGCGUUUCUUGCUCCAAUUUCUAUUAUUGAAACUGUAAUUAACGUUUUGGAUAUCUGGCACCGAAGUGUCCUGCAGGAAUCCCAAGAUGCAUUGUAGUCUUGGGAUCCCGCAGAAACUGUUGGCCAUCACUUCAGAGGUCUUUCAGUUUUGUAAAGCAUUGUGUAAGCUUGUAAAGUUAACAGUGUCAAAAGUAAGAGGUCCUCCCGUAAUGUGUAUAGGAAACUACAUUGAUUUGUGUUCUCUUUUUCUUAAGUGGUGCUUGUCUUCUUAGUGACACGUUUAGAAUUUUAAUUUCGUCAAAAUCGGAUAGCUUAUUCAGGCUGUGUGGUAUUGUAAGUCACUCUUUAUGUUCACGUGUCAGUAAUUAGCCUGUUCAGAUACUUGGUAUUAUAGCUUACUAGUUGUCACGUGCCGUUCUGACCAUAGCUAGUAGACUGUUUUGUGUGUUUUCAAGUCAGGUUUGGUCUUUAAAAAGCUUUCUGUAUUUCGGGGCUGCUUAAGUGAUAGGAUGACAUGCUUUCGGGUACUGAUCUUGUGGGAAUGUCAGAUGUGUGAAGUUAACUAUUCUCCCCUGUAUGAAAAAGUGCUUAUUUUACGAACUGUCAAUAUUGGCUUAAAGAGAGAAAGGAAUGUACCUUCGUGAGCCAGGGUAUUGGAGAACCAUAUCACAGAUGUUCUUGGCAAUUUGUGAGAAUCGAUUGUUGAUUUCUCUUUGAAGUUCCACGUUGUAUUUCCUAGAUAAAUGGACAUCAUAAAAGUCUCUGGGAGUUUAGCUUCUUCAGAAACUUGCCACAGUUUCUGUAUUAGAGGCAGAGAGCUUGGAGAAGUACUUCUGUGAAGUAAGUACAUAUAUGAGCACAGUUUGAAUUUGGUUGUUUGAUUUUCUUGAUGUUUUGCCUUUUAACAAGGAAACUUAGUAUUUAUUUCUUUGCUUAGAUCAAGCAGUUUGGCCUACUUAAAUAAAGUUCACUUACCAGCCCCUAAAAGUGCCCGGUUCCCCAUACCUUAUCAUGCAGAUUCCUUUUAUCCAGCCAUUUUCUUGUUUCUUUUUUGGCCGUCCCUCCUCACUCUGGAGCCACCAGCACCACUCUGGCUAGACUUGGAACUCCAUUUCCAGCUUGUCCAUCCAUCAGCCAGUGAGUCAGGAAGGGACAGCCAUCCUCAGAGCAGUGAUCUGGAGUAGACAUUGUUGGGUGACUAGGUAGGUAGGUUGGGUGACUGUUAGGUAGAAGAGCUGUCUUUCCUCUUACUGGCAUUUGCCAACUUGCUGGUUUAUUCUUAAUCCUUUUCUCUGUGACACUGUUAGAAGUGGAGAUGUAAAAAUAUCUAAGGAAGCGGUUAUAAGAGAAGUACUUUCUUUGUUACUUGGUGGUCAGUUUUUUUCAGUUAUAUCAAACUGUUUUGGUGUUACUGACUUUGUCAACUGCUUCUACAAAAUGCCAGUUCAUAUUUUUAAAAGUGUCCUCCUUAGGGUUGUCUAUUGGAAAAGAAUGGUUUCUAAAUUGAGGUCCAGAGAGAUGUGGGACUGUUGGAUUGCAUGUUUGAACCCAUAGAGGUCCAUAAAGUACCACCAUCAUAGCAGAGAACUAUGCCUGGAAGAAGCAAAGAAAAAAAUUGGAACUUGCCCUUAGAAAUUUACAAAGGGGGAGCCAUAAAAGUUGCAAGUUUUUUUAUAGUGAGGAAAUAAACAGAAGGGGAGCAUCUUUUCUUUGGUUGUUAAGCCCUUGUUGAGAUUUGUUGUGGGUCCCUGUUUUUAAACUAGAUAGGAGGAAGAGCUCUUGAAGGAGGAAGUCUAGAGGUAGAACACUGAAUGACUUCCUAACUGUUCCUGUCUAGGAUGAAUAUCUGUCAUUUCUCCUGAAAACAGGCUAGUUGGGUUUUUCUGGUGGUUCCUUGAGCAGCCAGUUGCCAUAAAUGUUUUUGCACAGUGUCAGAAGGCUGCUGGGUGGUUAUGCCUGUUUCCAGCCAUCCCAAGUCAAAACUUGGGAUUCCGUGUUGAUCUUAGCUCUCAGAAAAAGUAAUACAGGUUUCCAACGGAAUGAUUAAGUAGAAUACAAAUUAAGUGUAACCAAGUGUAAUUCAUUUAAGUUCAGUUCUCUACAGAUCCAAGUAAAUUGACUACGUGAUGCUCUUUAAAGUAGAAGUCCUGAAAUGAAUGAAAAUGUGGAAGACAAGGGUUGUGUGUAAGAGAACAAACAUUUUCUAUGCUAGAAUGUACAUAUUUUACUUAUUUUGAGUUUCAAUUUGCACACAGUUCAUUCUUUUUUAUUGUUGAAUGAGAAGUAAGUUUAGCGAUUUAAUUCAGGAUUACUUGGUGUCUUAGUCCAUUUGGGCUGCUGUGUAGUACAGUACCACAGACUAGGUAGCUUGUAAACAAAAUUUUUAUCCCUCACAGCUCAGGAGGCUGGAAGACCGCGAUCAGGGUGCCACCCUGGUCAGAUGAGGGCCUCCUUCCCUCUCUCAGAUCAGAUUGCUGACUUCUUGUUCUCACAUGGUGGAAGGGGCAAGGGAGCUCCCUGGGGCCUCUUUUAUAAAGGAGCUGUUUGUAAAAUGCAUUCUUGAGGGCUCUGCCGUUAGGACUUAUGUCCUCCAAAAAAACCCCACCUAAGUCCAAUACGUGAGGCAUUAGAAUUUCAACAUAUGAAUUUUGGGGGGGACACAAACAUUUCAGAGCAUAGCACUUGGACUUGUAGAGCAUCCAGGCUUCUGUAGUAAUGGUGUGGUGUCCUUUCCACCACCGCACCCUUAGCAUCUCUCAGAACUCUGCCAGUAAAAAAUGAAUAUAGAAUAAAAAUAAAACCAGCGGUCCUCAGAGGAGGAACUAUCUCCAAAACAUAGCACAUUGUAUUAUGGAACCUGAAUUUUAAAGAGAAAUGUUCUGUUUCAUAGUACUUGGUUUUUGAUGGGUGUCUUUUAAUGGGGAAGGAAUGUUCUUUUUUUUAGUGACAGAGAUAUAAUUCACAUAUCACAGAAUUCACUGUAGUGGUUUUUAGUAUAUUCACAAAGUUAAUGCAACCGUCACUACUACGUGGUGGUUGCUUGUUAAUCACUGAGUAGUCUCAAAAGUGACCUCUUCAGGGUCACCAGAGUAGAGUGCAGAAUCUUACAUAAUUGCUUUGUUCAGAAGGCCUCUUAGGCUUUAUUAUGAUUUUAAGUGAUACCUGUUGACUGAGAGAUAAGUUUAGACAGAAGAUAGGUGAGGUUCUUGACUGGAUUUUCCUUUUCCCAUGAGACUGAAAUCCCUGCAGUAACAAAGUCUUCAGUGGGACAGUAAGUAAAGUAGGCAGAGAAGGUGAGGGGAAAAUACUGUUCCAGGAGUGUUAUUUCUUUUCCUGCCUCGUUUUCUAGCUAGUUAUUUCUUACCUUGACUUAACCAAUUAUUAGAUUUGGGCUCUUAUUUCCUGAUUUUACAUGCUUGCAAUGGCUCCAGCGUGAGGAUUUAGGGAGUAAGCGAAGGCAUUACAUGAACCAGUGCUUUCCUUGUGAGCAGCUAUUUGAACUGGUAAGAAAUUUUGAUUGAGAAUAGGCCCUCUUUGGAGCAGCUUUUAUUUACUGCAGCUUUUGUACAUGGCUUUCUUCUGUCCCUUGUUUUUCACCUUCUCUGGAAUUGUACUGCAAGAAAAGAUAGCGAUUAAAAUUUCUCAGGGCGAGUUAGGGAAGUAGAGUAGAUGACAAGUUUUAAGUCUUGUUUUGUUUUUGUUUGCUGGGGAGGAAAUGUCUUAAAGUGUUAAAAUAUUACUGUUUUUCUAGUCGAAGAGAAAGGAAUGAAAAGGAUUCGAUAGUCUUUUGUGAAUGCAGGAUACUGUGCUGGGCACUUGAAGUGACACCACAAGAUGAAUUAAUCGUAGUCCUGGAGUCUAGAAAGAAAAUGCAGGAUACUGUGCUGGGCACUUGAAGUGACACCACAAGAUGAAUUAAUCGUAGUCCUGGAGUCUAGAAAGAAGUGAGAGAAACAGUAAGGAUUUUUUGAGCAUCUUUCACCAGCCUAACCUAAGAGUGGUUACACCCAAUCCAAACCACAUUCCAAACAGGUAAUUGUAAGCCACUGACCUUGAACAAAGCAGAAAGUGCAUGCCUUAGAAUGUUGUUGGGGCAAUCUCUGGGUUGACCGUUUCUGUAGAACCACAGUGGGCCACUGUACUACUCAGUGGUGUGUCCAGUUCCUUUGGAUGGUUGGUUUUGGUUGCAAGGUAAGUGUAUUUCUGUUCCCUUUGUACCUUAAUGGGGCUGUCUGCAAAGUAUUUUAAGUUCACCUACAAUUUUUUUUGAAGUAAAUAGGAUAUACAUUAUAAAUAAACCUGUUUUAGGGUUGUUUGAAAAACAUAGUGGAUCUUAGUUACUCUACAGAAAGCCCACUCAGGUGGAUGUGUGUCAUUGCUUUUAGUGAAUGAAUAGUUCGUAGAAUGUUAGGGCUGGAAGUGACCCUGGCAGUAGUACAGUCUUAUCAGAUAAAGAAACUGAAGCCUACAGAUAGUGACUCCAAUUCAGCAACAGUGGAGUCUGGAAUCUGUUUGCCAACUGCUAGCUUAGUGCCCUUUCAAUUACACCGUGCUGUUGACCGGGGAGAAGGGCAUCCCUGGGGCUAACAUCUUGACCACCAACCAGCAUGGAUUUCCUGAGAGAGGCCCUAGAAUUUGCCUUUCUUGUGUUUAUUCUUCAAAAGUUUUGUUAAUAUGGGGCUUUGAAAAGCUUGUAAUGGUAAACUUAUUGAGCAGUUACUUGCUUCAUAUGCUUUUAUCUUCACAACAAUCUUUUGAGGUUAUGUUGAGCCCUUUUAUAGAUAAGAAAAUUAAGGCUCAGAAAAGCUAAAUAAAUGAGGUGACAUCUCCUAGUAAGUGGAGGAGCCAGGGUUAGACUCUACGUCUGAUUUCAAAGUUUAUUCUAGUAAUAAUAACUCAGCUAGUCUUCUCCCUGUGAUUUGCUAUGAAAAGGUCUUUUUGGCUGAGACACUUUUUCAGCAACUGAGUCCGUGAGAUUGUGGCCUAUGGCACCGCCUCCCUGUUCUGUCUCAGUAGUAGCAGGGUGACGUUGUGAUAAGUAGGCAAUGCUCUACUUUGAAAUCACUUCUUCCUACAUUUUAGGAAAUAAUGUGAGAUAAUUUGAAACAGUUCUGUUCACCGCUAUAGCAUUGUACCUUUUUAUUUUGAGAGCAUAGGUAGUUAAGGCAAAACCAUGGACAUUUCAUGUGUUGUGUGGGCGUUUGGUUGUGAUGUCUGCCUUUACUGGUUUUCAGUAUUGUCUGUGGGAGAAAAAUACCUCAGGCAGGCGGAUUUGGUUGGGAGUGUAUGGUCAUCUGGGUGCUAGAGAAUUUUUAGUUUCUUAUGCAAAUUGUACUUCAGCAUCUCUUCAGUAUUGUUUCUCUAACCCCUUCUUGGAAAACUGACACAUACAAAGUUGUUUUUAGUCUAUCGAACCCUGAUGGAAAUGCAGUAAAUAUAUAGGUGGACUGCUACAGAUGGUGAGAAAACUGAAGUGAUAAGACUCUAAGGAACUAGUGACCUCUGAAAACCAAAAGAAACGGCUGCAGUCCAGGCACAGUGAAUUACAUACUUACUCGGUACGUACACCGUUUCAGCCUGUGGAGACUUUACAGGAGAUGGGAAAAGGCUCUGUAUUUCAGAAAACCACACUCAUUCUGGAAGUUUCUAAUGUCUUAGGGAACGAAAACUGAGAUCUGUGUGUGGGUGUGCUUACAGCUGCAAGAAGGGUCCUACCCUAGAGGAGCUCAGAAGAGCCAUCAUAAGCUGGGUAAUGGGGUGGGUGGGGGGUGGGAUAAAAGUGGAAAGAUUUGUACUACAAUUGAGGAGAUUCCUUAAGAGGAUCUAGAACUGUGCACUUAUGGCUCUUUAAAUUAAUUAAAACUAAAUGUUUCAAUUAAAAAUUCAGUUUCUUGGUCAUAGCCACCUUUCAAGUGCUUAAUAGCCACAACGUGGCUAAGUGACAGUCAUAUCACAGCACAGAAACAGAACAUUUCCAUCAUUGCAGAAGCUUGUAUUGGACAGAAUUUUGUCACAAUGUUUCUCACUUCAAGGUAGCGUAAGACACUUGUGACUUUUGCGACAGCACUGAAGUUUUUAUUCAUUAAUAAUGAACACCAUUUAGCCAACAGGACUAAGAAAUUUAAGUAGGAUGACUUUUGCAUAUUGUUGUUUUGUGUGUAAAGAGAUGAAAGAUUAGUUUUAUACAUAUAAAGCAGUACACAUUUAAGUUGCUGAUUUAUGGACUAUGUGGGUUAAGCAAUUUAAGAAUUGGCCAGACUUUUAUAUUUAAAAUAUAACUUGAAUUGAAACCUGGUUUUCACAGCCCACCACGAGUGUGGCCUUCACUGUACCCAUGAUCUGGCCAAGUAAGAUCUCCGUGUUAAAGUCCUUUGAUCCAUAAUCAAAUCUUUAAAAAAAUUGUAUUUUUAAAAAUUGAGGUGAAAUCCAUAUGACAUGAAAUUAACCAUUUGAAAGUGAACAGUUUGGUGGCAUUUGGUACAUUCACAGUGCUGUGCAGCUUACUACCUCAAGGUUCCAAACAGUCUCAUCGCCUCCAAAGGAAAUCAUACUUUUCAAGCAAUUGUUUAACACUCCCCUUUUCCCAGCUUUUGGCAACCACCAAGCUACUUUCUGUGUGUAUGAAUGUACCUAUUCUGAAUAUUUCAUGUGAAUGGAAUUGUACCUGUGAUCUGUUGUGUCUGGCUUAUUGCACCAUUAUCAAAUUUUAACUAGUUUUAAGAUUCACAGUAUCAUCUUUGUUAAACCAUAGGCAGUACUGUUGCCUGACUGUCUUUUGGUAAAAUCUUUCACUUCUUGUUUUAAAAUUUUGGGUAAUAUACCUUUUAUCACAGCCAGUUCAUUAAUCUUCCUUUACCAUAAAGGAUAGCAUUCGUUUCUUUUAAUUUGAGGUAUGGCAGUUUUAUUAACUAGUACACUUCUGAUAAACUUUCCCACCUAAUUAGAAUUGUUCUUUUUUGAAUACUUGAUGAGGGUGUGUACUUGAUGAGGAUGUAUCUUCUGAACAUGGAGAUACCAUUAGGAAAUAUGAAACUGAUUUCAUUCCUUGGGAGGUUGACUAACUUCUCUUCGACUAGCAGAUAUGAAGUGUGCAGGACUUGGAAAUCAAGCCCCAAUGGUUAUGUUUGCCAGCCAUGAACAAGUGACUUUGGAGCUGGUAGAAUUACAAGCCUAUGCUCAUUAGUAGCGAGUAAAUCUGGAUGUGAUGUAUAUUAUGAAUAAUAGGAGUAGAAUGAGAAAGGGUUGGAGAUGUGUGUGAGAGAAGAGACUGGGUACAAAUACACUGACAAGUUUAAAUGUAAAGAACAUGUUGCUGUAUCUGUGAUUUUUCUGGUUCAUUGCUCCAAAAACAUCAGUUCGCAGAUGUUGCCACCAUUGCCAUUUGAAUUGUAACGUGAUCCGUGGUCUGAAUGCAAGGAUAAGCUUUUUUUCUUCCAUCCUGGGGAAACUAUUGUCAGCUUCUUAUUUUGAGGCCCUUUAAUGUCAUCAUUACGUGUAUAUUAAUAACUUAAUUGCUGUUUGUACUUGACCCUGUCCCUGCCUCUGUAAGCUGUACAAACUCAAGACAAAUGCAUUAUAAAUGUAGGGUGUUUUGAAAAAUGAAACCAUGAACAGAUUUUUAUUAUGCUGCGUUAUGCAGCCAUGGAGGUAGUCUUAUGACUGAUGUCACUGUCCUGAGAGGUGCCUUACAGCCUUAGGCAUGUAUUGUAUAUUUGUAAAUCUAAGAGUUGGUUGUAGAACCAGGUGUUGAGGUGUGUGUACUGUUGGGUCUUAUAAAGCCCAUUUGCAGUUUGGGAUGUCUUAUAAGUGAUGAGAGAGCCCCCCAUACUGAUUGUCUCCGUCUUCCUUGCCUUACAAUGCUUGACCAUCCUAACUGUGUCAUCACUUACUCGGUUUACUUUUACUGAGGGAUUUUCAGCAGGGGCUGUCUGAGGAAGGGCAAGGUGGCAUUUGUGUAACUUGGAGAAGCCCAUUCGAAUAUGUCAGAAUGUUUGGUAAGUUACCGCUUACUUCAUAGGGUUUGGGGGGAGCUUAAAUAAGAUAGCAAUCAGCACAUGAGGGCUCAAUAAAAAUUUAAAGGGAUUUAGGGUAAUUUGCCACAACCUCCAACCCUGCCUCCAGCACUGUGGAUUUGUGAGUGUUUCUAUCCCUGUCUGGCCCAUAAUAGAUGUGCAGUACAUGUUAGUUGAGAGAAUUGAACUGAUGGCUCAUUACAUAUUAGGGAGUGGGGAGUCACUUGUUGAAUAUCUCUUAGGUGCGAGGAGUUCUUUAAUUGAAACUAAACAAAUGCUUAUUCUCAUUCAGUGCUCUAAGCAGUUCUCUCAGGCAGAUGACAUGCCAUUUCCAUGAUUCAGUGAAAUAAUUGCCUCUCACAACUUGUACAUGACACUGUAGGUUUUAAAGCCAGGAGUCAGCCCAGUGCUGGCCUCUCAGCACCAGCGUCUGCUGCCUCCUCCAUCCUGAGGUUCGCACGUCAGCCUGAUCACCUAGCACUGCCUGACUUUCUCUGGAAGUUGAGUGAUUUUUCCUUACUAUACCUGUAAACUUUUCUUUUAAAUAGGAAGUGAAAAAAAAAUCUUUUGUGAAGUACAAUUCCUCUUCCUUCCAAACCUAGUUCAAAUGCUUUUUCCAUUUCUGUUAACAUCCUGCUAAUCGCAUAGGUUGGGGUGUCUUAGACCCUUCACUCUUCCUUCCUGCACCUGUCCGGUGUCACCCCUGUUACCUCUGUGUUUAGCCUCUCCUCUCCAGCUGCACUGCGCCGCGGUGGGAGCCAUGCUGAUGUUGCUGGCUGAGGUGUCUUUCCAUUCAAAGGUCAUCCAAAUACCACUGUGUAGGAUCAUCUGCAGCUGCGACGCUCAGCAUGUCACUUCUCAAAAGAUCUUGGUUGCCCUUUACCUUUCAGGGGCAAGAAACUCCUUUCUUCACUACUUCAUAUUAUGGAAGAUUGGGCCCAAAACUUUUCUUGACUUACAGGUCUUAACACUCCAGGGGAGUGAGUUUAAAUGUAACUUUGAGAGAUUAUGAAUUCACUGUUUAUUGGUGUGCAGGAUUCAUGUGACUUCAAAUUCUUCAAUGUCUUUUUUGCAUCUUGGAGAUUCUUUAAAGCAAGGGCACUUUCAUACCGGAGUAUCAUUAGGCUUUCAGAUAUAAAAAUAAACUUAAACAUUUAAGUAUCAGUAUAUAUUUCUCAUACAUCUCUUUCAGUAAUAUCAUAAGUAGAUUUUCAGCGUGACAAUUGUGGAAACUGGAUUGUUUCUUGAUCUUAGAAUUCUAAUAGAGGGACAAAAACAGUGUCAUUUUAAUCAUCAUUUCUGAGAUGUCAUAAGGGCCCAUACACAUUUCAGGGACUUUAUAUGAAUGUCCUUUGUACUUUCUUGGUAUCAAAUAGAACUUAUUCCAGGAUCUUGAUGAUAAAAUAUGUAUGAUUAUAGAAUUUUUAAAAGGGCUAAUCAUAGCCUUCUUUGACUACAGCUACCAAGAGAAACUAGAGAAGUAAUGUGUCUUUGUUGAGCAAAAUCUUACUAAUCUGAUCUGUGUAUGCUGUUGAUUACUCUUUAAAUAUCUGUGACAGAAAAGUUUUUGAAGCAAAAUACGAGAACAAGCAUACUUUUAUGAGUACAUUUCCAUUACUGAAAAGGUUUCAAAAUUGGCUGUGAUUGGCAGAUUUUUAGAAGUAGGUUAAACAGACUUAUAGUUUGAAAACCUGAGUUAGUUGCCAUUAGUUAGGUCUGGAUUGUUGAGAUUUUUGUUGGGUUAUUGAAUUUAUGUUUUUACUGUAUUUUAGAACAUAAAUAAAAUGGAUGUGUA
Manis pentadactyla (Chinese pangolin) is the source of this 10436-nucleotide RNA transcript. It is a transcript of the gene named eukaryotic peptide chain release factor GTP-binding subunit ERF3A-like, with no coding region annotated. The transcript has 4 exons. The record is from RefSeq and is a predicted model, not a curated record. Lineage: Eukaryota; Metazoa; Chordata; Mammalia; Pholidota; Manidae.